Molecule: ribosomal RNA, 253 nt
Filed under: uncultured bacterium
Lineage: Bacteria
Description: partial 16S ribosomal RNA
Rfam family: Bacterial small subunit ribosomal RNA
Source: RNAcentral
GACGAACCGUGCGAACGUUGUUCGGAAUCACUGGGCUUAAAGGGCGCGUAGGCGGGCGGUCAAGUCUGUGGUGAAAUCCUUCGGCUCAACCGGAGAAUAGCUGGAGAUACUGGCCGUCUCGAGGGGGGUAGGGGCAUGUGGAACUUCCGGUGGAGCGGUGAAAUGCGUAGAUAUCGGAAGGAACGCCGGUGGCGAAAGCGGCAUCCUGGACCGAUACUGACGCUGAGGAGCGAAAGCCAGGGGAGCAAACGGG